This is a long non-coding RNA of Mauremys reevesii (Reeves's turtle), 1934 nucleotides long. RefSeq lists it as uncharacterized. The record is from RefSeq and is a predicted model, not a curated record. The transcript is spliced from 4 exons. Lineage: Eukaryota; Metazoa; Chordata; Testudines; Geoemydidae.
GAAGCUGCCAGCAAGUUAGGUGUAGCAAGGCUCUGAACCCUUCCAGCAAGGAAGGCUGCACUCUGUCCCCAGAAGGGGAGAAACCCAGCACAAGGAACUGACUGAGGGAGGGAUCAGACAGACCCCGUGUGACCUGGAAGGAUUUUGCUUUGCCCAAGCCUGGUUCUCCAAGGCUAAAAAGGACUGAGCCUGCUGAGGAGAAGCAGUACCUGAUCUUUGGUGCAUCAUCCUUUCCUGAAUCCAGCCUGAAUGAAAGGCAUCUGAGGACUGACUACUCAUUAAUCUGGAUCAGAAUUACUCUCUGUAUCAUCUUACAGCGCUUCAAUGGCGGCAGUGAAGCCCAAGACCUCUACUCUGUAGGUAAUUGAAACCCUUGGAGGAGGAACACUGGAGAGUCCCUCAAUGGAUGUCAGGACAGAAGAAGUGGACCAGGGACCCUCUGAAUGGUGACGUUCUCCAGGUGCAGGACAGAUGUGGUCUUCAGGGAAAGCCCCAGUAGUGGAUUAAUCACUGAACCAACAGGGCCCGUGCCCUGGGGCCCUGGCCAACUGCCCCCUCCCGAUUCUGCUGCAUGGUGGGUGGGUGAGGCAGGGGAAGCUCCCAUACCCCCCAACUCCAUUCCCACUGAAGCUAUGGGAUGGGGGAAGCCCCCCAGAAGAACCCCCAACUCCAUCCUUGGCAGAAGCCCCCAGGUGGGGAAAGCCCUCCAGCAGCCCUCGUACCUGGCAGAGGAAGCUCCCAGGGCCCCAACACCAGCAGAAGCCUCAGGGCAGCAGGGGAAGCCCCCGUGCCCAACUCUGCUCUCUGGCAAAAGUUCUGGGAAGGCGGGAGAAGCCCCGGCACCUUGACCCUGGUCCCCGGCAGAACCGUGGGGGUGCCAGGGGAAGCCCCAGCUUCGGCCCUGGGACUGGAGGAGCUCUCACACCCCGCUGCAGCCUGAGGGCCCUGGUGCACGGACAGAGCUUCUCCAGUUUUGGGGCUACAGUGUGGGGAGCAUAAAGGAGCAAAUGAGUUGUGGGAUGGGUGGAAUGGGAGGGACCCUGGGUGGAACAGGGUGUAGUCCCAGGGGAAGGGGCAGAAAGAGGUUGAGUUGUGAGGCAGCCACAGGUGGAAGGGGGCAGAACAGGGAUGGGACCUCAGGUGGAAGGGUUGGGGAAGAGGCCCCCACUUGCUCUGGCCCAUAGCCUUGGGAAACCUUAAUCUACCUCUGCAAACCCCCUGAACACUGGUGAAGCACUUCCUCCAGAUAAGGAAGCGACCAAGAAGGAGAAAGGAGGAAAUGUUUCAAGAGGUGCUCCAAUCCUCAGAGGCCAAAAAACAAGAAUGCAGGGCCUGGAAGGAGACUUUUAAAUAAAAUUAUAAAAUAGACAGGCAGGACAGAAAAAAGAGCCAAAGUGAAUUUUAAUGGGCCAGGAGUAGAAGAUAAAAGUUAUAGAGGAGCAAACGGAGAUGUUAAAGUCCCUAAUCACUGCUGCAGGGUGAAUUCAUGCAUGCUCCUUCCUCCCCUGCAGCGGAAACAAAACUGCUUUCCAUGCCCUCCCCAAACAUUCCUUGCAACUUCCUGGCCCAUCUUGGUACCCUGUUCACCCCACCUCUUCGAACAGCUUCCAGAAUGAUAGCUGGACUUACACACAGCUAUAACAGUCUACACUACCUUUCAUUGUUAUCUCCCUUCCCACCAAGCCUUUUGUGUGUGGUGUUAAAUGGUAUUUAAUAAAAACGUUCUCUCUGGAAGAUAACCAAUCUUUAUUAGUCUCCUACACACGGUGGUUACUGGAAUUAAUACACAGUGGUAAUUUGAUCAUUUCCUGAGUACAAAUCACAGUCAGGAAUCAUCAAAAUUUUAAUGCAAGGCACCAAGUUAACAAAGUAUAGUAGAGUGCAGCAUAUUAAGACACAUUACGGGAGCUCAUUGUCAAAAUAGCUCCUCAAAG